AUACGGAGGAUCCGAGCGUUAUCCGGAUUUAUUGGGUUUAAAGGGUGCGCAGGCGGGAGAUUAAGUCGGCGGUGAAAUUUUUCAGCUCAACUGUAAAAGUGCCUUCGAAACUGGUUUUCUUGUGUGUAGAUGAAGUAGGCGGAAUUUGUGGUGUAGCGGUGAAAUGCAUAGAUAUCACGAGGAACUCCGAUUGCGCAGGCAGCUUACUAAACUACUACUGACGCUCAGGCACGAAGGCGUGGGGAUCAAACAGGAUUAGAUACCCUGGUAGUCCACGCAGUAAACGAUGAUUACUAGCUGUUUGCGAUACAAUGUAAGCGGCUGAGCGAAAGCGUUAAGUAAUCCACCUGGGGAGUACGUUCGCAAGAAUGAAACUCAAAUGAAUUGACGGGG
This 393-nucleotide ribosomal RNA is filed under the name uncultured bacterium. RNAcentral's name for it is "partial 16S ribosomal RNA". It matches the Rfam family "Bacterial small subunit ribosomal RNA", at positions 523 to 918 of the family's 1533-position model. The record is from RNAcentral.